RNAcentral lists this ribosomal RNA (379 nucleotides) under uncultured eukaryote. Its description in RNAcentral is "partial 18S ribosomal RNA". It matches the Rfam family "Eukaryotic small subunit ribosomal RNA", at positions 592 to 976 of the family's 1831-position model. The record is from RNAcentral.
CAAUAGCGUAUAUUUAAGUUGUUGCAGUUAAAAAGCUCGUAGUUGGAUUUCGGAUGGGAUUUGCCGGUCCGUCGUUACGAUGUGCACUGGCCAGUCCUAUCUUGUUGUCGGGGACUAGCUCCUUGGAUUCACUUCCUGGGACUAGGAGCUGACGAGGUUACUUUGAGUAAAUUAGAGUGUUCAAAGCAAGCCUACGCUCUGAAUACAUUAGCAUGGAAUAACACGAUAGGACUCUGGCUUAUCUUGUUGGUCUGUGAGACCAGAGUAAUGAUCAAGAGGGACAGUCGGGGACAUUCGUAUUUCAUUGUCAGAGGUGAAAUUCUUGGAUUUAUGAAAGACGAACUUCUGCGAAAGCAUUUGUCAAGGAUGUUUUCAUUAA